This is a long non-coding RNA of Orcinus orca (killer whale), 17949 nucleotides long. RefSeq lists it as uncharacterized. The transcript is spliced from 2 exons. Lineage: Eukaryota; Metazoa; Chordata; Mammalia; Artiodactyla; Delphinidae. The record is from RefSeq and is a predicted model, not a curated record.
CUUUUGUGCUUUAAAAUAGCUACCUGAAUGUUUCCAAAGCAAUGACAUUCAAUUGCAGUUUAUUAAUUCUAACAGAGCUGGUGAGUAACUGAAGGCUUUACCAAGCAAAAAUGAAAGGAUGUGAAGUGCAAGAAUUCUCAAAAUGACCAAGAGAGGUCAUUGGCUUGGGAAAGACAGAAACAGUUCUAGGGUCAGAAGUCAAAGGAAAUCUGGAAACAGACACUUGUUAAAAGUGAGCUCCAGAGAUGGCAGGUAACCAAGGACAGAAGCCUUAUUGUCUCAUUUUUUAAAUAGUGCUUAUUCUGAGGCAAAAAUGAUAGAAGAAAUUAGACUAUUGUGUGGACUACUGUUGCCAUAUAAGUACUGCAGAUAUUUUUGAUGUGUCUUAUACUUUUUUCCUCAAACAGGCCAGUAAGUAGGCUUGCAUAUUAAGAAUAAUAAACUAUCCAAAAAUGUUGUGUUUUACGGGCUUAAAUUAAAUAUGAUUUCGUCUACAAAAUAGCUAAGACACUUUUUAGUCAAGAAGCCAGAUCUAUUCAGUUCAAUUUGGAUUCCAGCCUUUUUUCCUACAUGAUUUUAGUCAAAUUAUUCAAGCAUUUCAUGCCUGAAUUUCCUCAACUAGAAAACUGAGAUAAUAGUAUCUGACUUUUUGUAAUAAUUUAAGGAUAAGUGAUGUAGCGUGAAAAAUACCUAGCAUGCAUUGUAAAGUCACCAUACUCCAAUAAAAAUUAAUUUAAAAAAAUACCUAGCAUGGCACUUGGCAUAAGUAGGCUUUUAUUAUUAUAGCAAGUAUUAUUAUAAUAAUAUAUUCUUGAUCUUAUUACUUUUUAAUAUGCUAAGGAUAAUAAAAGAAGUAUGCACCAUUUUAUUUGUCAAAAAAUUUAAAUGCCCACCAGGUUGAAGAGUAGGUUAUGCUGUAGUUUUUGCUGUGAGUUUUUGGGGAUUAUUUACAGUGUCUAUCUAUUCAUCCCAUUGCCAUUUCAGCUGUGUAUUUAUUUAUAUGGUUUGUGCUACAUCAUAAAAAUUCACUUUACAUACUUGACUACAAUCCAGCAUGAAAAUUAAAAAUUUGUGUGUGGAAGAAAAAGGACAGAAAUAGAGCAAUGAAAUGAAAUAUAAUAACUACAUGUUUAUACUGAAUUUGAAGCAACAACCAAAAUUUUAACAAAAAUAAGAUAAAGUUGCACCAUAGCUGGUCAUUGAGACAAAUUAUGAAGGGAUUGUCUAUUCACAGAACAGACACUUAAAGGCAGCAAAAAUUUUGAAGAAUCUUAGAAUGGACCAUGGAAUUUUCAAAGUUAAGAGAUGUUGGUGUGAGUAACUUAUGUGUCGUGAAGACUAUCUCUCAGACACCAAAUGACGAUUUGUCAAAAAUAUCUGACUGAUUUUCAGGAAAAAUUAAUUUCCAGUAAUAUUUAAUUGUUAAGGAAUCAAGUUAUUACAAAAGAGAGGUGCAGAAUGUUUACAUUCUCUUUUUUCUCAAGAUAGAGAUCAAGUUCAUAAAUAUUUUUUAUGAUAACUGGCAUUUUAUAUACAUAAGAAGGAGUCAUAAUUUCUAAUGCUUGGUGACUGAGAACAAUUUAGGAGCUCUUAACAGGAAGACAGACCUACACUCCUGUUAUAACAGAAUAAGAAAGUGAUACAAUUUUUGGCUAAAAAUGCUAUCACAUGAAGUGUUUCUUUUAUUUCUCAAAAAACAUUAUUGAGCAAAUAUGCGUUAUUCUAUGCAUAGUACAUUUCACCUUACAACUAUUAUUUCAUAACAGACAACAUCGAGAAAGACAUAAUCAAGACCCCAAUUUCCAAAGGAAGCAGGGGAUUGCUGACCAUCUUCCUCUAAUGUUACUUCACUUUAGCUGAGCUAGAGAGAAGGCAAUUUGUAACUUUGGCACGUGAGGAAUUAGAUGAUGGUUAUGAUACAACUGGAAAGAAAACAGCUCUGACCUCUAUCUCAAUGUUACAGUUUUUAAAAAGAUUUUUUUAGCAAUUAAUAUUUGGAGAUACAAGUGAUAAAAAUACUAUAGGAAAAAAACCAUAUGGCUAUUACAUUAUAACCAAAAUAUCAAUGAUAAUGAUUCAGGAUGAAGAAUCCCAAAAUACUAUAAAAAGAUAAAAUGAUCUACUUAUUUUGAACUAAAAUCUUUCAGCUUUUCACAUAUACACACAUAAAUAAGCAACUUUCCGUAUAUAAUGCAGUUGGAGGGUGUGAUGCAAGUUAAAUACUUUAAAGCCUUGAUGCAGUGCUGUGUCAUUACAAAUAGACUUUUACAAGCACUCUGUGUAGGCCUCAGUCACCAUGGAAGCUCGGCUGAAACUGGCUCUGGAAGUCUCUGUCUCUACCUUAUUGUACUUAAUACCACCAUUAGCUGGGACCAUGGGUGGUCACUAUUUUAUGCUUUACUCCACUAUCUUAAAAUCAUAAUUAGAGCCCAUGCUGAGCAUUCAUCAUUCCUUGUAGACACAAAUUAAAUGAGGCUUGAAGAGUGUAUGCUUACUCCAUGCUAAGUGAGUAAUGAGUUUUUAUGCAUAUGCCAGUGGAAUUUUUCUAGAUGGGUAGAACAAGAACACACAAGUCAGGGAAAGGAAAAAAAAAAGAUUGAUUAUAGUUUUCUUAGGCAAUUAGUGUUCAAUUGUCAAAUAUAUGAAUCAUCCUGGCUGCUGCUUUCUCCUCAGUUCGCCUGUAUUUUGAAGGAGUUAGCAGUUAACUAACCUCUCUAAAACUUUUACCCAGACACAGGUUAUCCAAAUUGGAAUCCUCAGAACCUCCUUAAACUCUUCACUCUACCAAAUCCUCAUAUUCCAUGUCCCAUUGCUUUUUGUCAUCCAUGUAGUUCUCAAAAAUCCCAUCUUUCUUUUAUUAUGGUCUUAUUGCAGUUAGAGUCUGAGACAUCUUUAAGAGUCCAUGUAGUCCAAACAUCUCAUAUUACAGAGUUCCAGACAGCUGAAGUUUUAUAGAUAGUUAAUGGUGGAAUUAUAACUGAGAUUCAGACCUUUGAAUCCCCAAUAGAGUUCUCUUUCCACAUGUUGCCUUUAGGAAAGUGGAUUAUUCGCAGUCUGUGUUAAUGUGACACUUACUGUCCCAAUUAUAAUAGUCUAAGAAUAUUUAUCUUAGUGUCAUUUCCUUCUUUGGAAAAAAAAGACAAAACAGAACUGAUAGAAAAGUGUCAUGUAGCCUUGGAGGAGUUAGAGCCUGGGAUCAAAUCUCUCUGCAACUCAUACCAACGUACCCACAGAAGCAACAAAUGGACAGGUGAAGUAUCUUGUUUACCUUUUCAUCCUUAGUAACUAGAAAAUGCCUGGAACUGACAAGUAUUUCAUGAAUAUUGGUUGAAUUCAAAUGAAUCAAUCAUUCGACAACUGGUUGUACAAUUAGAAGGCGUGCACCUUCUCCCCGUCUCAAUAAACAGUUUACAAUUUUCAAUGUAUCUACUACAGAAAAUCAACAGCAGUUUCCAAAGUAACAGAAGAAAUAUUGUUUUGUUUUGUUUUUUCAUAAAUUUAUUUAUUUAUUUAUGUUUUUGCCUGCGAUGGGUCCUUGCUGCUGCGUGCAGACCCUCUCUAGUUGUGGCGAGCGGGGGGCUAUUCUUCGCUGAGGUGCAUGGGCCUCUCAUUGCGGUGGCCUCUCUUGCUGCGGAGCACGGGCUCUAGGCGCGCAGGCCUCAGUAGUCGCGGCAUGCAGGCUCAGUAGUUGUGGCUCGUGGGCUCUAGAGCGCAGGCUCAGUAGUUGUGGUGCUCGGGCCCAGCCGCUCCGCGGCAUGUGGGAUCUUCCCAGACCGGGGCUUGAACCCAUGUCCCCUGCACCAGCAGGCAGACUCUCAACCACCGUGCCACCAGGGAAGUCCCAGAAAUAUUGUUUCUGAAUGUCAUAAAUAUUGUACAAUCUUUAAAGAAGUAAUAUUCCAUAUUUAGCAUUGAUUUAAAAAUAUUUCGUUAUUAUUUGUUGCCUUGUUGCAGUGAAUAUAUUUUACAGAACAUAUGACAGAAUUGUCUCUCAUGGAAGUCUAGCUUCCUGAGAUAAGAGUUUGCAGUACCACAGUCUUUCUUUAGAGCAUGCAUUUAUUUACUCCAAACUUGGGAUGGAAGUAAAAGAAGAGACCUCUCCCCUGCUGGAGCCACACCAAGUCAAUCCUCUCACUCACUCAUUUGCUCAACAAAUGUUUGUUGCUAGAGGCUCUCAGCUUUGUCAGUCUUCUCAUCCUCGAGGGCGGAAUGACGCAGGGACAUUCCAGAAGUUAUCUGUUGAGCCACCCUCUGGAGCUCCAGUCAUUGUGAGGAGUCAGCCUGCCUGUUCCUCUCACCCUACCCUUUCUGCCACUCCCAGCAGACACCCUGGGAGAGUUUACUCAAAGUGACAAAUCUCCAAACCAGUCUGUUUAUAUAGGCUCUCCCAGUAACCCACUAUCAUAGAUAAUUGAGAGCUUACUGUACUCUAAUUAUAAAAAAACAUCUUGAACUUUAGACACUUAAUACACACAGCCUUUACGGAUGGGUGAAACAGCUGAACUUGGAGACACCUGAACUUCAGGGAGCACAUUCAUCAAGAGAGUCAGGGAAGAAAGAGUACAUCAUAUCAGGUAUAAUGAAUGCCAUGUAAACAUGAAAUCAUGACUAAUAAGAAGAAGUUAUAAGAAUAAAUUAAUAUUAUAAAUCUGUAAGAAACACAUCUAUACAAUAUUUACAGUAUACACAAUGAUGAUCUCACUUUAUAUAUAGCAGUUCUUUGAAACUUUCCAAAAGUCUCAAAACAUUUCCACAUAUGAUAUUGUCCUACCAUCAUAACUCACAUGGAAGAGAGUUAAAAGUGAAUUUACCUGCAUUUUAGAGUUGCUGAAACUAAGGCAUAUCAAAGUAUUUUCCUCCAAGCAUUACCAUGCUGUUAAUGUUGUAGGCAGAGAAUAAAACUCGUUUUCUAGUUCUUUCAUAUCAGUUUCUCAUCUUAAACUGUAUAUACAUUUUGUUUUUCAAAAACCAGAUUUUAAUUGUUGUUCUCUUUCUCCCUUCCUCCCUCCCUUCCUUCCUCCCUUUUGUGUUUUCUUUAAAUACCAAAAGUUAGAUGACUUUUUUUCGUCAUCUACAGAUUAGAAGCUCACAUGAAAUCCUUCACAAUUUAAGUUUUCAAGAUUUUAGUUUGUACUUCAAUAGAAGAUUUUAUAACUUAUAUAGCAAAAUCCAUUCAACGAAUAUUUGAUGAUCCUAACAAUGAAUAUAAUACAUGUUAUAUACUGUGGUGGAGACAAAAGAAGUAUGAUUCAAGAUGGGUGCAGUCUCUAAGAGCUUACUAAAGAAGCAAGACAUACAGCCAUGAAAGAGUGGAAGUGAUAAUUAUAAUAAAAAGUAACGACAGAAUUUUAAAGAAAGCCUAUAUGGAAGCGAAAAUCAGUUAGGAAAGGAACCUAACAUUUUUGAGGAUCUAUAUUUAACAGGGAUUUUGCAAUCAUUAUCUCAUUUCAACUGCACAAGGGUGAGAUAGAUAUUAUCACUUCAAACAUACAGAUUAAAAAAACAAAACAAAACUGAGGCUAAAAGAGGAUAAGCAAAUUUCCCAUGAUAAAAUAGUCAGAUUUGAAACUAAGUGCAUGAUGUCAAAGAUCUUAUUUUGGACCCUGAAGGACUUAGAAAGCUGUAGGUAGAGAGAAAAAGCAUAAGCAAAGGAAUACAAAGAUUAACAAAUGAACAAGGGAUCUGAGCCAGUCUAGCCUGGCUAAAGGAAAUAGACUUGGCAAAAGUGAUAUAUAAAUGUUGCAUUUGCUUGUAUUUAAUUUAAAUAGUCAAUAAAUUGGCUAUAACAUGAUUAAAACCUUUUUGAGACUAUUAUUCUGGAAGGACACACGGAAUAGAUGCUAUUGCAAAAGUGUAGCUAGGAGCGAAUGAGGUACUAAAUGGUGGCUGCUCUUGGGAUUACAAAGGGAAAGACAGGAGAGAUAUUCAGCAGUAUUAACUGUAGGAAAGUGUUUGAAACUUUGGGUUAUGGUUGAGGAAGGAGACAAAAGAUAUAUAAAAUUGUAAAUUGAUUGGGACUUAGUAGAACCAAGAGUAGAUUAAAAAAUAAAGGUUCUGAUUUGCUGAUUUUGAGAUAUUGUUAGAAUUGAAAAAUGAGUUUCUAUAACUAAGAGAACAUUCACAGAGCAGUGGCCUUAAGCCUUGGCUAUCCCUUAUAAUGACUUUAAGAAGAGCUGUGACUAGUUAUAUUGAUAAAACCAAAGAGGAAGAAAGAAGGAAGAGGUGCAUUGAAAUACCGAUGUCUAGUAAUUGGGAAUUUAUUCAGUCAAGUAAAGAAGUGAAAGAAGAAGAAUAGAGGAGGUGAUAAAAGAAAAAUAUUUCAGAGUUUAAGAUUAAGCUGGGGAAAUUAACAUCCAAAUACCUUGGGGACUAAAGAGUCAGAGGGGUAAAGAUCACUGAAUUUAAAGAGUUUAAAGGCAUGUGAGGCUAUCAAGUUAGAAAAUUUGCACAAGGCUUCUAAUCUAGUUUACAUAGACCACUAAACAGAAGCUACUAAAAGAAACAACAUUUUAAACAUUCAAGGAAAAUCAUUUCUGAUAUUUGUACACAAGCAUUUGUCAGGAAUUGUUCAUUGAAACCCUUGUCAGUUCUUUUAAAUAAAAGAAGUGGAGGAGUUCCAUGGCCCAAAAUUUGGGAAAAUAUUGAAUCCUACUUUCUAUUAUUGGAUAUUUGCAAUGUAUAUUAGCAUAUUAAAAGAUCUGAGAAUGUGUUAAGAACAAACAAAAAUACACAAUAACACACAACAACAAAUAACCUGCUUCACUUAAGAUAACUGAAUAUGUCCAAAAUUAUUUGGUUUCUGAACUCCGUUUUUUCGAUUACACCUAAAAAAGAUCCACUAAAGUAGCAUUUUAUGAAGCAUCUUGGGAAACACUGGCUUGCCUAGUCCAAAUUACAUUGUAGUCUUAACAAUUGUUUUUUUCACAUUCAUUGAGAAGUAAUUAAAUUAUUCGGGAAGUUUUUACUUUUUCUACUUUUACUUUAUUUAUUGAAUUAAGUAGCCAGCUAAUUUCUAUUUUGUCUUUAACUUAGUAGACAAAGCUUCAUUUCUAUUAUGUUUGAUUUUACAUGAGUCGAAGCACACCUUUGUGUACUUGUGUUAUAGGAAUCUACAAAUACUCAUGUUUCUAAAACAAUGUGAGAGAAUAGGUGAAUGUUUGCCUCAAAAUGUCCAUAGAUGCAGAGGAGUAGAGGAUACUACAGUAAUAAGAAUUCAUAAAGAGAACAUGUUAACAGGCUCACCAACCAUUUAUUUUUUUCUAUGCAAUUGUAUAUACAUGCAUGCACAUACACAAAAUAUACAAGUGCAUAUGCUGAUUUAUGUAAAUAUAAUAUAGGGGAAGAAAAACUAGAAGAGCAUACAUCAGAAUAGUAACCUAGGUAUUCUAUGUAGAAAUUGGUUUUCAUUUUUUCCAUUUGGUCCAAUUAUACAUACUAAGUUUUUUACAGUGAGCAUAUUCUAUAUCUGUAAUUAAAAAAAAAAUCAGCUUGACCAAAUGUUCCACUGAUCACAAGAGAAAUUCAAUCCUGGCUUUAAAAGGCUGAUUUAUGUUCUCACAGAAAAUUACAGACAACUGAAACACAAAUGUAAGCCUACACCAGCACAGGUCCACACCUGGGUCAAGAGGUAAUCUAGUUGGUGUUAUAUAUAAUAUUGUGUUGUUUCAAGUCUGGAAUAUGCUGAAAAGUAUGAUUAUAAAUGAGUUUGGAAAAGAUAAAAUCUCAUAUGCAAAGGUGUUCAAUGGAUUUUAAAAACAAUGUGGGAAACAAAUAGCUCCUUUCAAGUGAGUAAUAACCCAAACGUAGGUUAACAUUUCUUAAAAGAAUAAUUGAAAAUCAGGUAUCCUGCUAGGUUAAGCAAUAUAAAGUUACUGCUAUUAAACAAUUUUUCACUUAAGAAAUCUGCAAUUUCAUUUGGUUCAAACUAACACUUGAACAUGCAUGUCAUCAGGAUGUUAAUAAUUUACAAUAGAAUGCAUCUACUGAAUUGAGAGCUAGUUCCUGUGCAGAAAAUAACUUGAAAAAAGAAAGUAAGUAGGAUGUUUGUUGUUGUUUAGGACUGAAAAGUCAUUCUGCUGUUUUCCUUUUCUUAUUUCCUUAUAUCUGAUGGCAAGGACUUCCAAGGACAAAUAAUAAUUUGAUUUGCAUUAUACUUAAGACAUAAUUAAGCUCCAGGGUGUAGUUAUACACAGAAACACAUAUUACUAAGUAAUGGGCAGGGGAUGGGGAGGAUACAGUAGUUUUCUUUCAGGAAUCUAAUGAGAUGAAGGGUUUAGGUCAGAUUACAGUAAACAUUUAAUUAUAUACAGAUGCAGUGUAACUCACCAAUAGGAGAAAAGGGCACAGUAAUUGCUUUCUUUCUAGGAUGAAACUAUCUUAAAUUAGUAAGAUUCUCUCUGUUUUCAAUCCUCACCUGUUGAAAACUGAGCAUAUUUUAUUUGAUCCCAUGAUUCUCUUCCUAGUCAAGAUACCACCUACUUCUUUCAUGAAGGUUUAGAGACAGAAAUUCUAGGUUAAUGAUGCUGGUUUUGUGACUUAUAAAUUCUAUUAACUUUAGCUAUAUUCAAUUAUUUUUCCUUUAAAAAAGCUGUUCUUGAGUUUCUUGUUUUUACAAAUGAUCUGCUAUUGUGUUGUAACACAAAUGUGCUGAGGUGAUUUUGUUGAAGUAUAAUAGUAUCCCCUAAAGUCUUGGUAGUCUUUGUGGCGUUUUUUGUUUGUUUGUUUUGGUUAUAGUUUGUUUUGCUUUGUCUUGUUUGAAUACAAGUUCUUAAUUACAUAAAGCAAAAGAAGAAAUUCUAAUAUAUCACUGUGAGGGGAAAAACAUCCAGUAAAUCAAAAGAGAACAGUAGUGACUCACAAAGAAAAAAAGUGGUCAUAAAACUAGGUGAGCGAUUAUGUAGGCAAAGAAUAAUCUCAGAGAUGUGCCAAAAACAAAAACAGAAUAAACAAUCAAAAAGGCUCUACAAGAGAUAGGAAACGGAAAGUUCCACAGAUAAGCAACUUCUCUUAGAAACAAUAGAAUACAAUAUGUGGAAAACAAACUGAGGACAAUAAAUAAAUCAGAGCAUAUUUAACCUUUACAUAUAAUAUAUGAUGGAAUAAUUUCUCUAACAUCUCCUUUAUACUAAAAAAACUGAAAAAGUUUUCAAAGAGUUUUGCUUAUUCUUAGACCUGGGUGAUGAUGCCUGGGUGAUGAAGAAACUAUACUUUGCUAAUGAUAAAUUGCUGCACUGCCAAAGGAAGAAAGUAUGUCUUUAGAAAACACCAGAAAAACUUAUAUUUCAAGUUCUAUGCACAGAUAAAUUCAUGCAAAAUUACCUAAUCUGAUUAUUUAUCUAUUGGUACAUAACAAAUUAUCUCAAAGCUUAGCAGCCUAGAAACAACACAAAUUUAUUAUUUCACAGUUUCCUAGAAACAGCUGAGCUGGGUCCUCUCCUUCAAAAGCUCUCACAAGACUGUAAUCAAGGUGGUCUUAUCUGAAGGCUCAAAGUAGGAAGGGUAUGUCCUCAAGCACUAACCUGGAAGAAAUACGUCAUAUUUACCUUAAAGUCAUGAAUCUAACUCCAACUGCAGAAUUUGUCCAAAUUAUUUAGAAUAAAACCCACAAACUUGGAAAUGAAAAUGAUAGAAGUAAUGAAAAUAGUUAGAAACAAUUAAAAAUUUCUUAAAUGCCUCACUAUAGAUUUUACUUAUUUAUUAUUUAUUUUGUUUUGUUUACUUUUGGCUGUGUUGGGUCUUCGUUGCUGUGUGUGGGCUUUCUCUAGUUGCAGCAAGCGGGGGCUACUCUUCGUUGUGAUGCUCGGGCUUCUCAUUGCAGUGGCUUCUCUUGUUGCAGAGCACGGGCUCUAGGUGUGCGGGCUUCAAUAGUUGUGGCUCAUGGGCUCUAGAGCGCAGGCUCAGUAGUUGUGGCGCAUGGGCUUAGUUGCUCCGUGGCAUGUGGGAUCUUCCUGGACCAGAGCUUGAACCCGUGUCCCCUGCAUCGGCAGGCGAAUUCCUAACCACUGUGCCACCAGGGAAGCCCCUCACUAUAGAUUUUAGAUGCUGCUACUCCAUUCAUUCAUUCAUUCUUUAUCUAUUCUUUCAUCCUGUAAAUAUUUUUGAACCCUUACUUGUUUAUGAGGAUAUGUCAGUGAACAAAACAAUGUCCCUGCUCUCAUUCAGCUUGUACUGUAGUUAAUGGAGAUAAAAAAAUAUUCAACAUUUAGCUAGCGUAACUUGCUAUGAGAAAGCAAAGCAUGUUACAGAAGUGCGGCUAAUUUUAUGUACAAUGGUCAAUCCAGGUCUCCCUGAACAGCUGAAAUUUGUGCAGAUGCUUGAAGAAGAAAAUACGCAAGAUGUAUAAAUAACAGGGUGCAGAGCACUUCAGAGGGAAGAGAGAGUGCAUAAACUGCAUUGUGGGCAUGCAUGAUGUGUUCGCAGAACAGAAACGAAGAGAGGAUGGUUGGAAGCAUGGCGAGGAGGAUUCAGUCAUGGGAAAUCGGAGAGGAAACUGCUAGACUGUGUCAGCCUGGUAGGCCAUCAUAAAGGUUACCAUUUCUCUGGGUAAACUGGGAAGACAUAGGAGGGACAAAAUCAAAGCAAUGUUUUAAUAGGAUCCCUAUGGAUAUUGUAUGUAAAAGAGAACACUGGGGGUGGGGUAUACAGGACAGUAAAAAUCCACUGAAACAAUUCAGGUGGGAAAUGGUGGCUUGAAUGAAGGUGACAGCAGUGGAGAUGGUGAGAAGUGACCACAUCUGGGGUAUACUUUGAUGUGUGGUGAAUGUUUUAUUGAAAAAAUUAGAUGUGGUGUAUAAGUAAAACAAAGUAGGUGCUUUUUUUUUUUGCAGAUACUAAAUUAAACAGAUAAAAUUAAUCCCUAAUUUUACUGAUGAAAUUUUCAUAUAAACAGCUUAAACUAGUUUUCUUAAAGGAAAUAAUAUUUUUUACUGAAAAAAAGAAUUUUGCCCUUUUAAAUUUCACAUGCUCUUUAUCUGAUUUGGAAUUUUUUUCAACUUUAAAACAUUCAUGAAUAUUUCUGAAAUAUUUCAUUUCUCACUAAGUACUCUGUGAGAAGCCUAUCUCAGAGAAAAUUUUGUAAGACUGAUUCACAUCAACUUUCACUGUUUAUUUCUAAUAAAGAAAAAAAUCUUUAAGAAGUCUUGAUGUAUGACACUCAGUAUAUAUUUAGGGCAAAUGUCAAAAGCUUAAGAAUCAAUUACAUAUCCUGGAGUGUCAUAUUGACAGACUCACUCUUUUCUUUACUAUUGAUUUACUCUCUGUUGGACAAACAUAAACACAUAAAAAAGAAAGAAAUCUAUUUUUUAUAGUGACUAGAAUUUUAAUUCCUGGGAAAUUUGUUGUUAAAAGCAGAAACAAUAAAUAUAAAUAAAGGAAGCUUUAAGUAAAUGAAAGCAAUGACACUGAUAAGGAUGAUUAAUUAAUUUUAUCUAAUUUAACUCAUUGAAUUACUUUUGCUUGGAUAUUCCAAGCAAAUACUAAAAAGCUUUUUUUUUUUUUUUUUUUUUGCCUCUUGUCUGGAUAAGGUUGAGAAGAUUGCCAUGUAUCAACACUGUGAUCUUGGUCAAGUUUCAUCACUUUGGGGCCUAUAUCUUUCAUCUGCAAAAUGGUAACAUUGGGCUAUAUAAGACUACUGUGGUCAAAUAUUAUAAGUUUAUUUUGAGAAAAAAAUUUAAACUGAUUUAUAAAUGUUUAUUAUUUCAAAAUCCAUAAUUAUAUAUAAAGAGUUUAAAUUUGCUUUAUUUUCAAAGCUUUGCUAAAUUAGUGAUCUGUUAACAUAUUUAGUCAACAAUUAUGUAUUAUUUACUGUGUUAAUAUUUGCAGAAUCAUGUAUGAAGCACCACCCUCUCCCCUCCUCCAUUAAAUUUUCAGUCUUAUUUGGGGAAUAAAAUACACAAACAUAAAUCAAUAGAAAAUGAGAGUGCUCAGAUAGCAUGUGGUCCAGGUUGUGUAUUUUUAUAGUUAGGACUCUGUGGUUGUGAGUGACAGAAACCCAAUUAAGUUGCUUAUACAAAAAACUAGAUAUGUUGUAAAGAUAAUGAAGAUUCUGUGACAAUUAAAGGAAGAUCUGUUGCAAUCUUGGCAUCUCUGAAAACUUCAGGCGGCCAUGGCUCACAGGCCCAGCCGCUCCGCGGCACGUGGGACCCUCCCGGACCGGGGCACGAACCCGCAUCCCCUGCAUCGGCAGGCGGACUCCUAACCACUGCGCCACCAGGGAAGCCCCAAUAAUUGGGCUUUUUGCAAAGAAGCAGGGGCAAGAGAAGGUAAAGUGUAGGAUGAAUCACCAGAUUGCCAUUCACAUUGACAGAAUGGUACCAUUAACACUGAAGAGAGAAUAUCAGAGGAGCAAACAAAACUGACUUAGGAAAACACACUUUUGAUUACUUCAGAAUAUGAAAUUCUCUUAGGCAUUUGGGUUACAAGUCUUUGUGAUUUCAACUUGGACAGCAUGGUCUGUUCUAAUGCUAAAAUCUUUCAUUUUUCUAUAGCUCACCUAUUUCAGUUUUUUUAACUGAAUUUACCCUUGAUUGGUUUGAUAUAGUGAGAUUCCAAAUGGAAGUAUUUCAAUCUGUGACUAGUUGAAUCCAAUAUGGGAUUAACUGUUAUGAUUACUUGUGUGACAUAAGAAAGAUCAAGCAAUCAUUUUUAAAUUGAGUUAUUUUAUCUGUAAAAUGAUAACUAGAAUUACUUUCAAAAUUUGAACAUUUUCUGAGUAUUUUCUUGGAGACAGAUUGAGAACUAAUACUGUAAACCAAAACUACAUUGAAAGUGGACCUAUAGUAUCCCAUUCUAAGAAUAGCCUAGGAAACAGAAAAAAGAGCCAGAAUAUAAAAGUCUGACCUUUCAUUGCUGUCUCUGUCCAUGAUCCUGAAGUUUGAAUUUUAAUGGGAAUUAUCACCCUACUUAUUGAGUCCACUUCCCUAGGAUCUUCAAAUUAGCCAUCAGUCACCCAAAUUCUAUGUCUCUGCCCAGGUUUAUGCCUUUAAACUUUAUUUAAAGGUUUUCCCCAGUAGAAAGACAUCCUGGGCAUCUAGAACAGGGAUGGGGAUAAACAAUAAUAUGAACUCACAUUUACACAGUUCACACUAUGAACCAGGCACUGUUUUGUUUUUUUUUUUUGCGGUACGCAGGCCUCUCACUGUUGUGGCCUCGCCCGUUGCAGAGCACAGGCUCCGGACGCGCAGGCUCAGCGGCCAUGGCUCACAGGCCCAGUCGCUCCACGGCAUGUGGGAUCUUCCUGGACUGGGGCACAAACCCGUGUCCCCUGCAUUGGCAGGUGGACUCUCAACCACUGCGCCACCAGGGAAGCCCCAGGCACUGUUUUAAAGGGCUUUGCACUUACCCAACCAUUUAACUAUCACUGCAAUGCUGUGAGGUAGGUUUUUAUUUCUUAUUUCUGUUAUUUUAAAAGUAAGCACACUAAGGUAGAUAUUUUCAGUGAUUUGUCCAGUGUCCUAAAGGCAGUGAGUGGGAAAGCCAAGGUUUGAACCCAAGUAGCUAUCUCUAAAAUCUCUACGUUUAACCACUAUGGAAUUCUACCUCUCAGGCAGGCAAGAAAGUUUAAUGUCACUGGGCUUCUGCAGGAAAGAAGGCUGUGGGCUAAGGGGUACAGCAGCUUUGAUACACUUUAAACUUUAUUUUGGUGAGAGGCAAUGUCACUCACCUGGUGCAUUUACUUCUGGGAGGAUCUCAAUCAGGAGAGAAAUUACAUUUAAAUUUACUCUUACAAGAAAUUGACUCUUUGGUCUCAAGCUUCUUACUUCAGAUAAUUUUGGCUACAUAUUUUCAAUUUAAUCUAAUGGUAGGUGGUUGUGUUUGAGUAAUCUUAAUUAUUAGAAUUAUGGAAAUGGCUUCCUAUGCAUUACAGGUACAAUGACACUAUGUAUUAUAUUAAUAUUUGCUUAAAACAUGUAUUGACAAUGAAAUAUUGACAAGGUGAAACAUUUGUGCUUCCAAGAUUAUUGCAGUGUUGUGGGAGAUGUGAAGCAACUGAUAUAUUUUAAUUUUUUGUUCUUGUCAAAACAGAAAGAUUCUCUGUUGGGGUGACUGCAUUUAUUAUUUAUAGAAACACUCUGUUUUCAAAACCAGUCUGAUCCAAAGAUACAGUGAGUCCAAUGAACACACUGUGCAUAGACAGGUACCUCUUGGUUUCUUUACUUUUCCCUCCAUGUUGUUUUGUGGUGAUGACUGGGAACCUUUAAAUGUUGGUUAAACUUGUUUUUUUAAAUACCCAACAGAUUAGACAUAUUUUAAUUAUAUUGCUCAAUAAAGCAAUCAGUUGUUUCAAAUUAGGCUGAUAUAUUGAAUUAUUAACUAUGUAUGACCCUGAUAACUAUUACACAAGAAGGUCCGUUGUAAAUCAGGUGAGCAUAUUAUAAGUUGGACAGGGCUACACUGAUAUGUUAUUAGAAAAUGAAUUUCCAUAAUGAAUAUUAUUCAGCGCUCAUACAUUUUCAGGGCUGCUGUUAUAUGGUUUCUAGUGAACAGAAUUAUUGAUACUAUUUUCCAAGUUAAUAUAUUUAAGGUAACAGAUUUCAAAUGAUUUAGCUUACAUUAAGAUAUAUUAAUUCAUCCUUUUAACUAUUGUAUUAAAUUAUAUAUCAUAUUAUAUUCAUGUAUUAAGCAAGCCCUACAUACUUCUUACUGUCCAAUUAUAGAUGAUGCUAGAAUGCAGAUCAAAGCUAUCAGGGGAAUAUUUUAAAAAACAUUUAGUGACAAUGAGUGAAAGAGGGGUUUUUUAGGUUUGUUUUGUUUUGUUAAAUUUUGGGGUUUGAUUAAGUUAAGUACAAAUAACUUAUUUUAAAAAGGAAUUCAAAAAGCUAGAUCUUCUUGUAAAUAAAUAAUGAGACGCAUUAACAGAGUUCUAUUUAUAUGCAGUCCAGACAGACAAUGUAACCCAAACAUAAAUGAGGGGAGAUGAGUCUAUACUCCAUAGACUAGAAUAGAAUUGUAAGAGAGCUUGAAAGACUGACAGUUUCUACUGAGGCAGGUCCUUGUCUCCCACAGCUGUUUCUCCCAUCCUACUGACACAUGACUUUAGUCCCUAACACUUCCUCCUCAUACUUCUUGAGAAAUUCGAAUUGACUAACAAAUAACUACUAAUCUGCAGAACAAUUUCUCCAUUUUCCCAGAACUGAUUUUGACCAACUAUUUCCAAAAUUAGCUCAAUUUUGUAUAACUCCUCUUGCUAAAGCUCAGCUAAAAUUUUCCUUCCUUCUUCGUGACAAUGGUUAUUGUGAACAUUCCUGUUCACAGCAUUUUUGAAUAAAGUCUUAGGCUAAUGGUGCUCUGAUUUUCUUCCACAAGAUGAACAGAAAAUUGAGCAAUACGUUCACCUAACAGUGUUGUUGUAAGAACCAAGGUGACUUUCUAUUCCUAUUGAUUCAAAUUAGCAAUUUAAUCAAGAACAAGGAAGUCUUACAGUGCAAAUGGAGUCACUGUUUCUCAUUCACCAAAAAGUAAUUUAUAAAUGGUCACUGAGAUGAAAGCAACACUUGGAUUCUUACUGGCUUUCGGAUAUAGUUGCCCUCAAAAGGCAGGCUAAUGAUAGUACAGAAAUUUAAACAAAUAAAUAAGAUGAUAAAAUGCAUCAAUAGCUGGAUGUGCUUUCUUUUCAGUUUCAUUCAAAAUUUAAAAACAAAAACAAAAAAAGAGAAACAUGAAUUGGGGUCUGAAAUUCUGAAAUAGAAUCCUUAUUCACCUUGGGUACUUGAAAAACAUCACUAAAUCUCAGUUUUCUCAUUUGGAAUAAUUAUAAUUAUAAUGAAUUAGACUGAAUAUGGAAAACCAAGCCCACUAGGCCUUGUGAAUUAGGCUUCCCAGCAACAAAGGACAAAAACCUACUCAAACUACCUGAAGCAAAUAUGAUGACAUCUGUGAAGAAACACUUUGUAAGCUGGAAAUUGUUAUAUAUGUUCAUCAGCUAUUCCUGUGUGAACUGGAAAAAAAAAGCUCUUAAAAUUCUGCUAACUUUUGUGAGGAAGCUAAAAAGUACUGGAAAUAAAUCAUAUCAAUUUGAACUGUUCCCAGAUUUAGGAGAAGGUAUUUGGCUUAGCUUCUCAUUUAGGCCUUUUGACCAAUUCACUCUCCUCUCCACAGUGACUGCUUUCAAAGAUAAACACAUAAUUUAGACUAAACUGGGACAUUCUUUCUUUGUUAGGAGGCUUAAAAGUAACUCUCUUGGGCUUCCCUGGUGGCGCAGUGGUUGAGAGUCCGCCUGCCGAUGCAGGGGACGUGGGUUCGUGCCCCGGUCCGGGAAGAUCCCACAUGCCGCAGAGCGGCUGGGCCCGUGAGCCAUGGCCGCUGAGCCUGCGCGUCCGAAGCCUGUGCGCCGCAACGGGAGAGGCCACAACAGUGAGAGGCCCGCGUACCAAAAAAUAAAAAAAAUAACUCUCUUGCUUCUGGAUUCACAGUGCAGAAAGUAUAAUUAAGUGCUAGCGUUGCCCGUUUUCCCCACCACAUGGAGGAAACCUGAUUGUAUUAAUAGAGAAUGUGGCCAAAACUCAGAGAGAAGCAGGGUGAGUAGGUAGAAAGAGUUCUAAGGACAAUGUGUGAGCCCUAGAUCCACCCUUAUGCCUCUGUCACCUCCACACCUGUCCUCAGUUAUUGUGAAAUUGGCCUAUUUUAAAACUUUCUCUACUUUGAGUUAGGUUUUUACCAAGUGAAUAUUUAAUACACAUGAGAUUGGGUGGACUUGAUCACUUUUAGUUCAAUAGUUUGGUAUAAAAUUUUUGAGAAGAACAUUUGAUAAUAUUAAUAAUGUUAAUAUUAAUUAGAAAAAUGUCUUUCAUGGUGUAUAUAGGUAAAAGUGAAUGGAACCAGACAGAUACUGUGACAGAUUUAACUAAAAAUUAGAAGCAAAAUAAGAACAUUUAAUAUGUAUGUAUACACAGCUAACAGAGUCUUAUGACUGCCUUGUCUGUUCAUAAAAUACCUAUUUCAGAAUUUCUGUUAUUUUAAACUGUAAUGCUGGAUUCUUUUGGAAGGGAUAGUGACUGCAUUCUUUACAAUGACUCUUGGUAUAUCUGUCUUCCCAAAGUUCAUAUCCUUAGUCGAGAUCUUUUUUCAAGUCUAUUAUGUGGUGUGCCAGACUUAUUUAGAUUGACUUGCAAAAUACAAACUUAACCAGAGUGCAUGUAUUGCAUGUCAUUAAUCAAUGACCUAGGUGGGACUGUUGUUUUUGGAGUACUAACUUAGUAGUUCAUCCCAUUUCAAAGUAUGCAGUUUGCCUUGAGGAUUCCAUAGAACUGCCACAACAAAAGCAAUUACAAAAUUAUUUCUUCACUAUUAUCAUACUGUGUUGCUGUGUUGUUUUAAGGAUAGCUGGCUCUAUGCAUCAGUCAAGGGCAUCUUGCAAAAACAGGUUGUGUGGAGGCUGCCUAACCAUGCAGCUUGUCUUGGUAGAAUUUUAUAGGACAUCAUUCUGUAGUGUUCUUUGAGAGCUGACUCAGUUCUGACUUUCUACUUUUUUAUAAGCAAAUCCGUACCUUCCAUUGUGAUGGUCUCAGCAACCCAUAAUCUGUAUCCUACAGAACACAGUAAAUCAUUUAUAUGACUGUUCUAGAGCUAUGCCACACCUUUCUUCCUAUCCUGUCCUUCAAAAAUGCCUAGAUUCUUCAUCUGGAGAUGGAUGAGUAAAACAAUUUUAAUGUAACCAAGGAUUUUUUAGUAGAAACUAGUAUGGUAUUGAAAAAAAAGUUUUUAAUUUAAUUUUAUUAAGAAGGAUUCUAGGGCUUCCCUGGUGGCGCAGCAGUUGAGAGUCCGCCUGCCAAUGCAGGGGACACAGGUUCAUGCCCCGGUCCGGGAAGAUCCCACAUGCCGCGGAGCGGCUAGGCCUGUGAGCCAUGACCGCUGGGCCUGCGCGUCCGGAGCCUGUGCUCCACAACGGGAGGGGCCACAACAGUGGGAGGCCCGCGUACCGCUAAAAAAAAAAAAAAAAAAAAAAAAGAAGGA